UUUUAAACAUAUAUUGGCUAAGAAGUCACAUAAGAACACCCAUAAAUUCAUUACCACUUUAAAAUAUAUUUACAAUUUUAAACGUCAGCAAUGUACAUUUGAAAAAUAGUCAAAACAUGAGCCUUCAUUCCCUUGGCAGCUGGUGCUUCGGCUAAGGUUGGGUUUGCAGGCUCCUUGUAGUCAUUUCUGCCAACAUAGAUUAGGAAGCAAAAGGUGAAAGUAAUUAUACCAAAAUGGGCUUCUUUUAAAAUACAAAUAACCCUGGUGGAAUAGCACCGCUAGCUGUUGCCUGUCAAUAACACCUUCCUGUGAAGUCUAUCAGCUUGCUGAGGUAGAGGGCAGAGAGCUAGACAGGUUAACAAGGGAGUUUGUUUCUUGGGGCAGG
RNAcentral lists this long non-coding RNA (385 nucleotides) under Homo sapiens (human). RNAcentral's name for it is "HSALNT0146067". Lineage: Eukaryota; Metazoa; Chordata; Mammalia; Primates; Hominidae. The record is from RNAcentral.